This 660-nucleotide ribosomal RNA is filed under the name Escherichia coli. RNAcentral describes it as "partial 23S ribosomal RNA". It matches the Rfam family "Bacterial large subunit ribosomal RNA", at positions 609 to 1269 of the family's 2925-position model. Lineage: Bacteria; Pseudomonadati; Pseudomonadota; Gammaproteobacteria; Enterobacterales; Enterobacteriaceae. The record is from RNAcentral.
UGUAUAAUGGGUCAGCGACUUAUAUUCUGUAGCAAGGUUAACCGAAUAGGGGAGCCGAAGGGAAACCGAGUCUUAACUGGGCGUUAAGUUGCAGGGUAUAGACCCGAAACCCGGUGAUCUAGCCAUGGGCAGGUUGAAGGUUGGGUAACACUAACUGGAGGACCGAACCGACUAAUGUUGAAAAAUUAGCGGAUGACUUGUGGCUGGGGGUGAAAGGCCAAUCAAACCGGGAGAUAGCUGGUUCUCCCCGAAAGCUAUUUAGGUAGCGCCUCGUGAAUUCAUCUCCGGGGGUAGAGCACUGUUUCGGCAAGGGGGUCAUCCCGACUUACCAACCCGAUGCAAACUGCGAAUACCGGAGAAUGUUAUCACGGGAGACACACGGCGGGUGCUAACGUCCGUCGUGAAGAGGGAAACAACCCAGACCGCCAGCUAAGGUCCCAAAGUCAUGGUUAAGUGGGAAACGAUGUGGGAAGGCCCAGACAGCCAGGAUGUUGGCUUAGAAGCAGCCAUCAUUUAAAGAAAGCGUAAUAGCUCACUGGUCGAGUCGGCCUGCGCGGAAGAUGUAACGGGGCUAAACCAUGCACCGAAGCUGCGGCAGCGACACUAUGUGUUGUUGGGUAGGGGAGCGUUCUGUAAGCCUGUGAAGGUGGCCUGUGAGGG